RNAcentral lists this ribosomal RNA (440 nucleotides) under uncultured bacterium. Its description in RNAcentral is "partial 16S ribosomal RNA". It matches the Rfam family "Bacterial small subunit ribosomal RNA", at positions 338 to 795 of the family's 1533-position model. The record is from RNAcentral.
CCUACGGGAGGCUGCAGUGGGGAAUAUUGCGCAAUGGGGGCAACCCUGACGCAGCAACGCCGCGUGAUUGAAGAAGGCCUUCGGGUUGUAAAGAUCUAUCAGCAGGGAAGAAAAUGACGGUACCUGAGUAAGAAGCUCCGGCUAAAUACGUGCCAGCAGCCGCGGUAAUACGUAUGGAGCAAGCGUUAUCCGGAUUUACUGGGCGUAAAGGGAGCGUAGGCGGCCUGCCAAGUCUGAUGUGAAAUACCGGGGCUCAACCCCGGGGCUGCAUUGGAAACUGGCAGGCUGGAGUGCCGGAGAGGCAGGCGGAAUUCCUAGUGUAGCGGUGAAAUGCGUAGAUAUUAGGAGGAACACCAGUGGCGAAGGCGGCCUGCUGGACGGUGACUGACGCUGAGGCUCGAAAGCGUGGGGAGCAAACAGGAUUAGAUACCCGGGUAGUC